RNAcentral lists this ribosomal RNA (406 nucleotides) under uncultured bacterium. RNAcentral describes it as "partial 16S ribosomal RNA". It matches the Rfam family "Bacterial small subunit ribosomal RNA", at positions 30 to 526 of the family's 1533-position model. The record is from RNAcentral.
AUUGAACGCUGGCGGCAGGCUUAACACAUGCAAGUCGAGCGAGUGGCGGACGGGUGAGUAAUGUAUGGGGAUCUGCCCGAUGGAGGGGGAUAACUACUGGAAACUGUGGCUAAUACCGCAUACUAUAGGAUGAACCCAAAUGGGAUUAGGUAGUUGGUGGGGUAAAGGCUCACCAAGCCGACGAUCUCUAGCUGGUCUGAGAGGAUGACCAGCCACACUGGGACUGAGACACGGCCCAGACUCCUACGGGAGGCAGCAGUGGGGAAUAUUGCGCAAUGGGGGCAACCCUGAAGCAGCCAUGCCGCGUGAAUGAAGAAGGCCUUCGGGUUGUAAAGUACUUUCGGCAGGGAGGCGUUAACCGCAGAAGAAGCACCGGCUAACUCCGUGCCAGCAGCCGCGGUAAUUC